Molecule: non-coding RNA, 468 nt
Organism: Chrysochloris asiatica (Cape golden mole)
Lineage: Eukaryota; Metazoa; Chordata; Mammalia; Afrosoricida; Chrysochloridae
Source: the annotation of a RefSeq genome assembly
AUGGGUCUCUGGCUCCUCUGCUGGGUAGCCAUCUGUCUCCUAGGGACAGGUCCAGUGGAUUCUGGAGUGACUCAGACUCCAAGACACAUGAUCAAAGCUCGAGGCCAGCAGGUGACGCUGAACUGUUUCCCCAUCUCUGGUCACCUCUCCGUGUCCUGGUACCAGCAGGCCCAGGGCCAGGGCCCCCAGUUCCUCAUUCAGUAUUACAACGAGAAAGAGAACUACAAAGGUGAUGUCCCCGUGGGCUUCUCGGGCCGACAGUUCUCUGACUACCACUCAGAAGUGAACCUCAGUGCCCUGCACUCGGCCGUGUUCCUCUGUGCCAGCAGCAACAGGGAAGGUCUCAACCCCAAUAGUGUAGCCUGGGCCUCAGGGGACCACAAACCCACAAGUUUGUGGACUCACUCCCAGUUCCCUGCCUGGCCCUCCUCCGUACACCGAGGAGAGGAAGAGAUUAACACUGUAUAG